This 72-nucleotide transfer RNA is filed under the name Bos taurus (domestic cattle). It matches the Rfam family "tRNA". Rfam says of the family: Transfer RNA (tRNA) molecules are approximately 80 nucleotides in length. Their secondary structure includes four short double-helical elements and three loops (D, anti-codon, and T loops). RNAcentral also lists the same sequence under 3 other names. Lineage: Eukaryota; Metazoa; Chordata; Mammalia; Artiodactyla; Bovidae. The record is from Rfam by way of RNAcentral.
UCCCUGGUGGCUCAGAUGGUAAAGCAUCUACCUACAAAGCGGGAGACCCAGGUUCAAUCCCUGGAUUGGGAA